GACGAACGCUGGCGGCGUGCCUAACACAUGCAAGUCGAACGGGGCAGCAAUGCCCAGUGGCGAACGGAUGCGUAACACGUGAGGAACUUGUCCAUCGGCGGGGGAUAGCCGGCCCAACGGCCGGGUAAUACCGCGUACGUCGGCGAGACCGCAUGGUCUUGCCGGGAAAGCAGCAAUGCACCGAUGGAGAGCCUCGCGGCCUAUCAGCUAGUUGGUGAGGUAAUGGCUCACCAAGGCGACGACGGGUAGCUGGUCUGAGAGGAUGAUCAGCCACAUUGGGACUGAGACACGGCCCAGACUCCUACGGGAGGCAGCAGUGGGGGAAUAUUGCGCAAUGGCGAAAGCCUGACGCAGCGACGCCGCGUGUGGGAUGACGGCCUCGGGUUGUAACCGACUGUCGCGAGGGAC
This 408-nucleotide ribosomal RNA is filed under the name uncultured bacterium. Its description in RNAcentral is "bacterial SSU rRNA". It matches the Rfam family "Bacterial small subunit ribosomal RNA", at positions 28 to 446 of the family's 1533-position model. The record is from RNAcentral.